AUUAAGAUGGUCACGGUGCCUCACCAGAAACACAAAUCCCAGUUACUGGUGGUAGACCUAGCUGUAAAACACUCUUCUGGCAGGAAAUUAAUGUAUCCUAAUGAUGAUUUCCAGGAGAUUCAGCUUCCUUUCUGUCUGCUGUUAAACUGGAGGAAAGUAGGAACUGCCAUCUUCUCUGGAGAGCCAGAGGCUAACAGAUCCUUUCUGGAGAAAAAGUCAGAUGCUGGAUGGAGGAGGUGACCAAAUGACAUCUUAAGAAGUGACCCACCCCGUGUUGCAUAUUGACACUUUGCAGUGCAGCAUCUUUUCUGUGAAGGUGAAGUUCAGCUGGAGCAAAACAGCAGCCAAAAGUGGCAGCUGAAACUAACCUGCAUAAUUCCCUGCUGAUUGAAAAUGAACCAGGUGAUUGCAGUGUCCUAUAAGCUACUUAAUGAAGAGUCUAUCAUGCAGCCAUGCUAUGAGUCAGACUUUUAAAACUUACAUGCUUUACUUCUCUUUGUACCAACUGCAGUGAUGAAUAUGGCAGAUUGUGAUGAUAGUAGCUAUGUAACACCAACCAUCUUAAAAGGAUCAAUUUGAGAUGAGUACUGUGUCUAGAAGGAAACACCUUUUAUUUCAGAGAAAAGAAAUGCGGCCUUACAGUAAUAUGUAUUUUUCACUUUGCAAAAUCACAGUUGUCCGAGGUGGGAAGGAACCUCUGAAGAUCAUCAAGUCCAGCCCCCCUGCUGAGCAGAAUCGCCUAGAGCACCUUGCGCAGGAUCACAUCCAGGUGGAUUUUGAAUAUCUCCAGAGAAGGAGACUGCACAUCCUCUCUGGGCAACCUGUCCCAGUGCUCUGUCACCCUCCCAGUAAAGAAGUGCCCCCUCAUAUUGAGCCGUAACCUCCUGUGCUUCAGUUUGUGCCCAUUGCCUCUCCUCCUGUUGCUGGGCACAAUGGAAAAGAGACCGGCUCCAUCCUCUUGACACCCUCCCCUCAGGUGUUUAUACACAUUAUGAGGUCUUCCCUCAGUCUUCGCUUUUCCAGGCUAACCAGGCCUAGUUCUUUCAGCCUGUCCUGGUAUGACAGGUGCUCCAGUCCU
Molecule: long non-coding RNA, 1078 nt
Organism: Oxyura jamaicensis (ruddy duck)
Lineage: Eukaryota; Metazoa; Chordata; Aves; Anseriformes; Anatidae
Exons: 7
Source: RefSeq, a predicted model, not a curated record